AGUGAACACUGGCGGUAGGCCUAACACAUGCAAGUCGAACGGCAGCACAGGAGAGCUUGCUCUCUGGGUGGCGAGUGGCGGACGGGUGAGGAAUACAUCGGAAUCUACUCUGUCGUGGGGGAUAACGUAGGGAAACUUACGCUAAUACCGCAUACGACCUACGGGUGAAAGCAGGGGAUCUUCGGACCUUGCGCGAUUGAAUGAGCCGAUGUCGGAUUAGCUAGUUGGCGGGGUAAAGGCCCACCAGGGCGACGAUCCGUAGCUGGUCUGAGAGGAUGAUCAGCCACACUGGAACUGAGACACGGUCCAGACUCCUACGGGAGGCAGCAGUGGGGAAUAUUGGACAAUGGGCGCAAGCCUGAUCCAGCCAUACCGCGUGGGUGAAGAAGGCCUUCGGGUUGUAAAGCCCUUUUGUUGGGAAAGAAAUCCAGCUGGCUAAUACCCGGUUGGGAUGACGGUACCCAAAGAAUAAGCACCGGCUAACUUCGUGCCAGCAGCCGCAGUAA
Molecule: ribosomal RNA, 506 nt
Filed under: uncultured bacterium
Lineage: Bacteria
Description: partial 16S ribosomal RNA
Rfam family: Bacterial small subunit ribosomal RNA
Source: RNAcentral